GUGGGGUGACUGCGUACCUUUUGUAUAAUGGGUCAGCGACUUAUAUUCUGUAGCAAGGUUAACCGAAUAGGGGAGCCGGAGGGAAACCGAGUCUUAAUUGGGCGUUAAGUUGCAGGGUAUAGACCCGAAACCCGGUGAUCUAGCCAUGGGCAGGUUGAAGGUUGGGUAACACUAACUGGAGGACCGAACCGACUAAUGUUGAAAAAUUAGCGGAUGACCUGUGGCUGGGGGUGAAAGGCCAAUCAAACCGGGAGAUAGCUGGUUCUCCCCGAAAGCUAUUUAGGUAGCGCCUCGUGAAUUCAUCUCCGGGGGUAGAGCACUGUUUCGGCUAGGGGGCCAUCCCGGCUUACCAACCCGAUGCAAACUGCGAAUACCGGAGAAUGUUAUCACGGGAGACACACGGCGGGUGCUAACGUCCGUCGUGAAGAGGGAAACAACCCAGACCGCCAGCUAAGGUCCCAAAGUCAUGGUUAAGUGGGAAACGAUGUGGGAAGGCCCAGACAGCCAGGAUGUUGGCUUAGAAGCAGCCAUCAUUUAAAGAAAGCGUAAUAGCUCACUGGUCGAGUCGGCCUGCGCGGAAGAUGUAACGGGGCUAAACCAUGCACCGAAGCUGCGGCAGCGAACGUAUCACCCAAGACAACUUUACGGAGUUGACGAUUGACGGAGCGAAGCGACGUCAAAGCGUUCAUUAAAGUCGAGUUGGCUUAGGGAUACGUUCGUUGGGUAGGGGAGCGUUCUGUAAGCCUGUGAAGGUGUGUCGUGAGGCAUGCUGGAGGUAUCAGAAGUGCGAAUGCUGACAUAAGUAACGAUAAAGCGGGUGAAAAGCCCGCUCGCCGGAAGACCAAGGGUUCCUGUCCAACGUUAAUCGGGGCAGGGUGAGUCGACCCCUAAGGCGAGGCCGAAAGGCGUAGUCGAUGGGAAACGGGUUAAUAUUCCCGUACUUGGUGUUACUGCGAAGGGGGGACGGAGAAGGCUAUGUUGGCCGGGCGACGGUUGUCCCGGUUUAAGCGUGUAGGUGUGUGUUCCAGGUAAAUCCGGUUCACUUUAACACUGAGGCGUGACGACGAGGCACUACGGUGCUGAAGCAACAAAUGCCCUGCUUCCAGGAAAA
This 1111-nucleotide ribosomal RNA is filed under the name Salmonella enterica subsp. enterica serovar Typhimurium. RNAcentral's name for it is "partial 23S ribosomal RNA". It matches the Rfam family "Bacterial large subunit ribosomal RNA", at positions 588 to 1616 of the family's 2925-position model. The record is from RNAcentral. Lineage: Bacteria; Pseudomonadati; Pseudomonadota; Gammaproteobacteria; Enterobacterales; Enterobacteriaceae.